UACGUAGGUGGCAAGCGUUGUCCGGAAUUAUUGGGCGUAAAGCGCGCGCAGGCGGUCCUUUAAGUCUGAUGUGAAAGCCCACGGCUCAACCGUGGAGGGUCAUUGGAAACUGGGGGACUUGAGUACAGAAGAGAAGAGUGGAAUUCCACGUGUAGCGGUGAAAUGCGUUGAGAUGUGGAGGAACACCAGUGGCGAAGGCGACUCUUUGGUCUGUAACUGACGCUGAGGCGCGAAAGCGUGGGGAGCAAACAGG
RNAcentral lists this ribosomal RNA (253 nucleotides) under uncultured bacterium. RNAcentral's name for it is "partial 16S ribosomal RNA". It matches the Rfam family "Bacterial small subunit ribosomal RNA", at positions 524 to 776 of the family's 1533-position model. The record is from RNAcentral.